This 294-nucleotide ribosomal RNA is filed under the name Shigella sp. FC1967. RNAcentral's name for it is "partial 23S ribosomal RNA". It matches the Rfam family "Bacterial large subunit ribosomal RNA", at positions 1317 to 1615 of the family's 2925-position model. Lineage: Bacteria; Pseudomonadati; Pseudomonadota; Gammaproteobacteria; Enterobacterales; Enterobacteriaceae. The record is from RNAcentral.
GCGGGUGAAAAACCCGCACGCCGGAAGACCAAGGGUUCCUGUCCAACGUUAAUCGGGGCAGGGUGAGUCGACCCCUAAGGCGAGGCUGAAAGCGUAGUCGAUGGGAAACGGGUUAAUAUUCCCGUACUGGUGGUAACUGCGAUGGGGGAACGGAGAAGGCUAGGUUGUCCGGGCGACGGUCGUCCCGGUUCAAGCAUGUAGGCAGAGUGAUUAGGCAAAUCCGGUCACUUAAUGCUGAGGUGUGAUGACGAACCACUAAGGUGGUGAAGCAAUUGAUGCCCUGCUUCCAGGAAA